This is an RNA transcript of Mirounga angustirostris (Northern elephant seal), 7331 nucleotides long. It is a transcript of the gene named ATP synthase subunit ATP5MJ, mitochondrial-like, with no coding region annotated. Lineage: Eukaryota; Metazoa; Chordata; Mammalia; Carnivora; Phocidae. The record is from RefSeq and is a predicted model, not a curated record. The transcript has a single exon.
CUGUAUAUUUAUUUUACCUUUUUGCCUUUAUUAAAGUAUUUUCAUACUUUAUCUCAUUCCAUUAUGUAUCAUUAAAGAUCAAGUAGAUUACCUGCUAGCCCUAAUUUACUAAAGAAGCGUAGUCCUUAAGCUGCUAACUUAGUUGCAGAACUGGUUUUAGAUUUCUCUCUUGAUAUACCCAGCUUAUUCUAUUAACUGAACCUUCGAUUCAAGUGAUCUUGAAAAAGUCACCAUGAUUUCUGCAGGCAUGUUUGGAAUUAUUAAUAGAGAACUCAAUUGACAUUUUUGUGUGAGUUAUAUAUAUAUAUAAAUGUGAAUUAAAAUUUUGAUCUUCCAAAAACUGACAAAAAUUUUACAUGGUUUCUCUUUCUCAGCUAUAUGGUGUAGUUUAUCUUGGCCGACUUAAAAGUAACUUAAGUACCUGUUUCUUGUUUCUUUCUUUUUUUUUUUUUUUAAAGGUUUUAUUUAUUUGAGACAGAGAGAAUGAGAGAGAGAGAGCACAUGAGAGGGGGGAGGGUCAGAGGGAGAAGCAGGCUCCCUGCCUAGCAGGGAGCCCGAUGCGGGACUCGAUUCAGGGACUCCAGGAUCAUGACCUGAGCCGAAGGCAGUCGCUUAACCAACUGAGCCACCCAGGCGCCCUGUUUCUUGUUUCUUUUCUGUAUUUUUGGGGCUUCAUACAAUACCAUAAUGUGGAGGGGGCUAAGGAAAUAUUCAUUGGUUAUAUAGAUGUAGUAGGGAUUAAAAUAUUUCUCACCUGAGAUUUGGUUACUUAAAAGAUUGUGUGAAAACUAAUGAUGAUCUAGGGGUGCCUGGCUGGCUCAGUUGGUAGAACAUGCAACUCUUGAUCUCAUGAGUUCAUGAGUUCGAGCUGCACAUUGGGUGUGGAAAAAAAAAGAAGAAGAAAAUUGUGACAAUUCAGUGGAUACAAUUUUUAAAAUAUAUUUUUAUGUUUUAUAUAAAUUCUUUUAUUACUUUCGGUGUCCAGUGCUUAAUCAAUUUAUAUACUCACUACAUAUUUGACAGUUCCUACUUGGAUAUCUUAAAAACAUUUCAAACUGUUCAUCCAAAAUAUAAUUCUUAAUUUGCCUUCCAAGUGCCCUCUUCUUCUUAAAACAAAAUUUCUUCAUUGUUCAUUACUGUAUAUUCAGUUGUUCAUGCUGGAAAUCUUACUAACACUGAUUAAGCCUGUCUCCUAAAUAUAUAAUAGAAUCUGUCCAACACUACCAGGCUGGUCUAAGUUAUCAUAUCUUGGCAAAGCUUUUAUAAGAGUCUCUUCAUUGGUGUCUCUGAAUCCAGUCUUGCCCUGUCUGUCUGCUUUCCCUCUAUCUCCAAUCACUUUUUUUUUUUUUUUGGUUAUUGUUGCAAUUCCAUGUAUUUUUUAUUAUAUUUUGAAAAAUUGAAGCAUAAUUUAUAUAUAGUCGAAUGUAUAAAUCUUAGGUGUUCAGUUUGGUAUUACUGAUAAUAUAUAGCAGUAUAACUGCUAUCUAAAUUAAGACACAAAGCAUCUCAAUCACCAGGGGUACCUGGCUGGCUCAUUCAGUAGAACAUGUGACUCUUGAUCUCAGGGUCAUGAGUUUGAGCCCCAUGAUGGGCAUAGAGUUUACUUAAAAAAACAAACACUUCAGUCAUCCAAGAAGUUCCCUUGUGUCUUCUUUCUAGUCCAGUCUCCUUCCUCUUUCUGAAACACUGCCAUCACCAUAGAUUAGUUUUGAAGCUUUUUGGACUUCAUAUAAAUGGAGUCAUACUAUAUAUAUUCUUUUGUGUUGGUCUUCUUUCACUUAAUAUCUUUGAGAUUUAUUCUCAUUGUUAAAUGUAUUCCUAUCUACUGCUGAGUUGCAUUCCAUUAUAUAGAUAGAUCACAAUGUAUCUACUCUCUUGUUAAUGGAUAUUUGAAUUGUUUUCAUUUUGGGGAAAUUAUGAAUAAGGCUGCCGUGAACAUUCUUGUGCCAGACAUUUUUCAUUUCUCCUGGAUAAAUUCCUAAGCGUGGAAUUUCUGAGUCAUACAUUUCAUAGGGUAAAUGUUUAACUUAUAAGAAACUCUCUGAAUUCUGCACAUUUAGUGACCUUUCUGGGUUGGCCGUGUGGGUUGGGGCACCCUGAGCCAGUUGUCCUGUGCUGAGAUGCUUCAAAGCCUUAUUAAAAAUGCUUAGAUUCCUAUGAAGCCCAACUAUACCCAAGUUCACCAAGAGAUUUGGGUAGGAAUGAUGUUGAUGGGCUUAAUCAUUUAUAAAAUCAAGAGUGAUGAUAAAGAAGUGAAACUUUGAGAUCUUCAAGUCCUGCGCCUGCUUAUCAUUAACCAGCUUUACCUGGAGUACACAUCAGAUGGAAUGUCACCCUGGCUGUAAAUUUCAGUAAGCUCUAGUAGAUGAGAGUGUGGCACAUCACUGUACACUUGUGAAAGUGCUGUUUCCUUUGUGGUAUGAAUAAAUGUACCUGUGAGAUGCAAAGAAAAGAAAAAAAAAAGAAAGAAACCUGAGUUCUAGGGUUUGUAUCAUUUAACACUUCCACUAUCAGUGUAUGAGAGCCAGUUGCUCCACGUUCUCCCGGCCAUUCUUCAUAGUGUGGAGGACUGACCUUUUUAAAAGGAAGAUCCAGUCAUUUCACUUACAUUACCCAGCAAUGCCAUCUCGAUGUUGUCUUUAAAAUAAGAAUCAGGGGCGCCUGGGUGGCUCAAUCGUUAAGCGUCUGCCUUCGGCUUAGGUCGUGAUCCCAGGGUCCUGGGAUCGAGCCCCGCAUCGGGCUCCCUGCUCUGCGGGAAGCCUGCUUCUCCCUCUCCCACUCCCCCUGCUUGUGUUCCCUCUCUCGCUGUGUCUCUGUCAAAUAAAUAAAAUCUUAAAAAAAUAAAUAAAUAAAAUAAAAUAAGAAUCAAAUUCUUCCCAUGGCCAGAAAGAGCCUGCAUAAAUAUGUAACCUUAGGCUCUGUCAGUCUCCCUUGAGUACACUGUGUCAUGGUGCAGUGCUUGUCGUUGCUUAAACAGGUCAUGGUUUGUUUCUGGUCUCAGAGUCUUGACACAGAGUUUCCUCUUGGCCUGAUAAAUACUUCACUGUCUUCUCCCACUACUCAGUCACCUGUUUAUUUUGUCAAGUCUCAUCUUAAGUAUCUUUCUCCUCCAACCCCUCCCUUCAUAAGUUUAGAGCAUUUUCUUCUUGUUUUUCCAGUGCUUAACACAAUUUUGAAUAAUCAUUAUGUUUUAAUAUUUCUCUGUAAGCUCCAGGAUGGCAGGGACGUAUCUGUUUGUCACUGUAGCAUAUGUAGCACCAGCCAUGGUGCCUGGCAUACUGAAUGAAUGAAUGAAUGAAUGUAUGAAUGCUUUCAAGUACAUUUUUGCCAAGAGGGAAGAAAAGAGAGUGAGGUAAGCCCAGCAAAAGACUCUGGAAAGAAUAAUUAGAGAUAAUCAAAGAUGUCAGAGGAGUGUAUGAUAGAGCAAAUUCCUGAGAUAAGUAGGGAAAGGUUGAUUACAGAUGCCAAGAUGGAGGAAUUACUUUUGGAAAAGAGGAAUAGUCUCUCUGUGGAGUUAGGCAGUUGAGAAUGGAAAUGUGUAGAACAGAAAAAUUAAGAAGGAAGGUUGGUGUAGAUAGUAGAGUUUGUGUCAGAGGCCGGGAGAUGAUUUGAAUUCUUGAAGGGAGUAUAGAUGCUAGUAAAUAGAGUCAUAGGUAAUGCAUCAACUGACCAGCAUGUUAGGCCCACAUGAGAUUGGAUUGCAUUGUUUCCUGCUGCAUUUCCUCUCUGUUAUCCUGAUCAAGACUGAUACUACAACAGAAAAACAUUUAAUGUGAUAAUAACAAUAGAAUUUAUACUGUUUGAUAAGUUCUUGUAUGUGCCAGACAGCAUGUGAAGGUGCAUUAGAUACAUUUUCUCAUUUAAUAUUAACUAAUCUUCACAAAAACCCUAAGGUGUAAAUACUGUACCCCCAUUUUUAAAAAUGAGCUAAUUGAAGCUUGGAGAAGAGUUGAGUAAUUUGUCCGGUUGCAUGUAGGUAGAAACUGUUGUAAAGCUAGGAGUAAAAUUGAAGACCGUUUAAUUCUACAGUCGAUGCUUUGCUUCUAAUAAUAAUUUAUUUAAAAAAAAAAAACUUGGAGGAAAACAUUGCCUUAGUAAUCUAUUUUGUUCUAAUUGUAUUUAAAAUGAAAAAUAUAUUCAUUUGUAAACCUUUUCUGGAAACAGAGCCCUCCUAUUACCUUCUAGGAAUAAUCUCAGUACUAAAUAAUAUCUCCUCUAAAGGAAAAACCUAACCUUUUAUAAAUAGGAAAGAUUUAUUAGUGAUACCUCAUUUACCUGGAGGUAAUUACUGGAGUUGAUUUUAGUAAUCAACGUGUUAAACUUGAAAGUUAAAAAAAAACACACAAAGAGCUUCUCGUCAAUGAAGAGGGCUAAAAGAAAAAACCCAAGACCCAGUAAUUAUGUGUGAUCAACUUAUAGUCAACAAAUAGCAUAAAUAGUAUCCAGUUGGAGAGUGUUGGCAGAGAUUUGUGUCAAAGGCAGCAAGCUUGACCUGAUAGCAAAAAAGACAGUUGACCAGCCAAAGAAAAAGAAGAAAACCAGGACAUCAUUGUGUCACACUUAAGACACUUAAAAAAUUAAAAAUAAAUUAGGGAACCUUUAGUAAAAAUAGGCUGGUUAGUUAUUUCUGUAACUUACAGGGUCAUUUGCUAAGGCAGGAGCAGGCUUUGUCAAUGGGGAAUCCAGGCACAGCUGAUUGCUAGAGAAUUCAUGGAAAUCUGGUUGUGUGUAGUGUGGAAGAAUUGAAAGAACACUGGCCUUUCAGUCAAGUGAUUUAUAUCUAAAUCUCACCUCUGUUUCAGUGACUUGUGGCUAAGUUACUUAAGAUCUCUGGACCUCAUAUUCAAAAAAGGAAUUACUGUCUUUUUCAGAAAAAUCUGUGUUCACAUCCUCUGCUUAGUUUGUAAUCAUAUUACUUGUUUUUUGGAGUUGAGUUGUAUAAGUUCUUUGUAUGUUUUGGAUAUUAACUCUUUAUUAGAUAUAUCAUUUGCAACAGACAUAUGAAAAGAUGCUAAAUAACACUAAUCAUCAGGGAAAUUCAAAUCAAAGCCAUAAUGAGAUAUCACCUUACACCUGUUGGAAUAGAUAAAAUCAAAAAUGUAAGAAACAACAAGUGUUGGUGAGGAGAAAAAAAACCCUUGUGUACUGUCUGUAGGAAUGCAAAUUGGUGCAGCCACUGUGGAAAACAGUAUGAAGGCUCCUUAAAAAAUUAAAAAUAGAAUUACCAUACGAUCCAAUAAUUCCCCUAUUGGGUAUUUACCCAAAGAAAAUGAAAACCCUAAUUCAAAAAGAUAUAUGCACUCCCGUGUUUAUUGCAGCAUUAUUUACAAUAGUCAAGAUAUGGAAGCAGCCCAAGUGUUUAUCAAUAAAUGAAUGGAUAAAGAAGAUGUGGUAUAUGUAAAAACCACCGAAUAUUCCUCAGCUGUAAAAAAGAAUGAGAUCCUGCUGUUUACAAUAACACAGAUGGACAUGGGAGUAUAAUGCUAAAUGAAAUAAGUAAUAAAUAAUGAAAGAUAGCAUAUGAUUUCACUCAUACAUGGAAUUUAAGAAAUAAAACAAAUGAACAAAUAAAGAAAAAAGAGAGAAACCAAAAACAGACUCAUACAGAGAACAAACUGGUGGUUACCUGAGAGGCUGUGGGGACGAGGGGUGGUGGUGGUAAAAAGAUAAAGGGGAUCAAGAGUACACUUAUUUUGAUGAGUACUGAGUAAUGUAUGUAUAGAAUGGUUGAAUUAUUAUAUUGUACACCUGAAACUAAAAUAGCACUGUAUAUUAAUUAUACUUCAGUGAAAAAAGAGAAAAAGGGGGAAAAAGGGCAUUGUAUUAUGUGGUCUUGCAGGUCAUUAUCAGGGUCAACAGUCUGUGAGUUCUGUUAGAUCACAGAUUGUCACACCAGCACACCAGCCUUUAAUCCCGAGAAAUCUCCAAUAAAUAAUAGGAUUUGUCAGUUUUACCAGCGUUGCUUCUUACCCAAGGUAAUAAAUGGAUCCUAAUGUUAUUGAUAGAAUGAAUAGAUAAAAUGAGAUGUGGUUUGUUUUUCUAAUUGAAGUUGUUUUAAUACAAUUUGUUGUACAUUGGACUUGAAAAAAAUUCAAUAAGGUAUGAAAGAAACUAUUUUGUGCAAAGUGUUAGCUUUAAUAAAAUUUGGGAGAGUAAACCAUUAUACUACCAAUUACUGGCCCUUAUUUUCCCUGGUGUAUGUGGGAAAAGGCUGUAAAAAUAUUUUAGAACCCUUUAAGUUUCUAAAUUUUGGAAGACUGGUAAGUUAAGGUGAAUAAGAAUCUGGAGUUUACUUUUUAGGUAUCUAUUUGUAGUAUACACAUUAUUUAUAAUUGAGCUGAAAUAUUAAAGAACUUUGAAUAUAUGAUACGAAAUUUAAAAAUAAUAUUUUUCAAGUAGAAAUGUGAAAAAAAUUAGUGCAUAGAUCUGAGGUUUAACCCCCACAAAUUGGGAUUUACUAGAAUCAUGUACUGUAUGCGUUCUGUAGUAGGUGUUCAAUUAACAAAUUCCAUCAAUCCUAAAAUGACAUCAGUGGUACAGCACACCUUUAUUAUAUGUAGUUUUGAGAAAGAAAAUAUGUUGCAUGUUCAAUUAUGACAUAACAUAAUACCUUAACAGUAGUCUUGGCUUGAGGUAUGGAUUGGUCUUACUAGUGCCCUUAUUUCUUCCAAAGUAUCUGGUAAUUUUGGUAAGUUCUCCUGGCUUUGACUGUGUUUCUUGAGUACAUGACAAGCAGUUUCUUAGCAAGUUAGUAACAAAACAGCUUUAAUUGCUUGUUAGGUAUCUUCCUUUCUUAAGUCACAUAAAACAUUUGGAUGUAGCUUUGUAAGAAAUAAGGAAUUGGAGUCCUCUCUCCGAAAAUGAGUAUUUGCUUCACUGAUUUUAUAAUUAUACCCUGUGGCUCUGUUUCUUUGUCUUACUGGAUACUCAGUAACUGUUUUCAACACCAAAUUAUAAUGUAAUGUUUUUAAGGUAAUUUAAACAUCAUUUAAACUCAGCACAUAUUUGCAACAUGUACACACGGUUGAAAUGACAGAGAUGGGAAUAGCUUUGACCAAGUGUGCUCAUGUGCUGGCAAUAGAAACUAUCAUUACUGCUAGCUGGUCCUCUGCAGUGUAUAGGAGGCCAUCAAUUGUAAACUCAGACAAACACAAAUUUCAAAACUCUUGACUUCAGUGAUACAAAAAUUUGUAAAAAUGUGAAUCCUAGAAUUGAUGAAUUAAGGUGAAUCUUACCUGAGUUGGUGGUAGCCUUAACUAUAUCCUAGAACUGUUGGUUUUGUUAUUAUUAUUUUUUUAAUGCCACAAAGCCCCUGAAGAUUCAUAAUCUUU